GAACACACCAGAAGAGAGAGAGAGAGAGAGAGAGCUCUCCAGAACCCUUGCCUCUAAUCUUCAUUUCUGGCGUGAUCGCCGGCGUUCUUCAUCCUACUUCGCGUGGCCAUUUAUUCAUUAUUGCUGAACGUUGCUCUGCUGUUCAUCCGCACCAUCAACUGGAGCUCGCAAAUCCUCCAUGUUCCUCCUCUGUUCAUGUUCCAGUUCAAUGAUAAAGCUCUCCUUCAUCUUUGUUGCCGUCGUUCGUGAGCCGAUGUGGAGCUCAUUCUUUCCUCUUCCUUGUUCGAUGAUAGGACCUGUUCUCUCUCCCCCUUGUUCUGACACUAUUGUUCUGGACGUGACAACACUAUUGGGGCGGUGAAGUGGAUCGUCAAGCAUGCACCAUUCAAUUAUCUAAUGCAACUUAAGAAAGUGAAGAGUUAGGCUAAAAGACUAUAAAUCAAGCGCUCUUGGAAGGUGAAGAAAAGUCCUCGAAUUAAAAAAAAUGUAUGUUAAGGGUGUAUGGAGAGGAAUCAAGAAGUCUAGUGGAAUUAUGCAUUUUCAGGGAAGUGAUCUCACUCCAAGUCUAUUUUGCUACUUAAACUUUACUUUAGAUUUUAAAUCUGAUAUUUGAGUUGUGAAAAAAAAGUUGGAUAUGAUUUGCACUCAUUGACUAGUAUAAAUCUGAUAUGAAAUUGAUCAUUGGUUGAGUUAUGUUUUCAUUAUGCAUGUUUUGUUGGUAUGAAGUUGGUUGUGGUGUGAAUGUGAUAAACUUGUGCAUAUCUAGUGUUGAGUGUUUUGGAUUGAUCUAGAGUGUUUUUGUGCAAAGAAUUGACAACUGUAAAUUUUCAUGUAAGCUUGAUCUUGAUUCAAGAAAUUUAUUGUGAAUUUGAUUGAGUAUCAAUUUUGUUGAAUGUUUUUGAAUGGUUACUGAUGGUCAUUCAAUGAAAUUUUGGUGUGGAAGGGCAUAUUGAGUGGUGUUGGAUUGCAUUUUAGCAUUGUGGGGAUCCAUUUUGGCUAAAUUAUCGAUAUGGGAUUUGACAAAAUUUUAGUUGCAGCCAAGAAAAAUUUGGUUGCAGCAAAAGCUUUGGCCAAGAGCUCGUAGCUGUAGCCAAAGAAUAAUUUUGAAUGUUGUUGUUGAAAGAAAUUGUAACAAGUUAAUUUGUAUGAUACUAUUUUGAUCAAGGGAUUUUAUAGUUUGCUUUGAACUUUCUUAAAACCUUCUAGUUGUUUAACUUGAUUUUGAAAAAUGAUUAGGGCCAUUUUUAUAUGUGUUUGAGCUUUUCAAGCUAACCUAAGUUGAUUUUAUCUUUUUGAACCUAUAAUUUGAGCCUAAAAAAACAAUUUAAUAAAUUCUUUUGGCUAUCCAUAUGAAAUCCAAACCUUAUAAACCUGAAAAAUCAUGAAUUAUCUUGGCUUUGAGAUAAAUGGAUAUUUGUGAUAGCUGAUUAGGGUUUGAUGUGGUUGGCAAGUUACAUUAUUCUUAGUUGGGUAUGGAUUACGUGGAAGAAAAUGUGGGGCUUUUGUAAUUUAAGUUACUGUUGAAAAAAAAAAGAAAUAUAUAUACACGAAAAAAAGAAAAAGAAAAAAAAGUUGUGCAUUUUGAAUUCAAUAAAGCUUGGUGUACAAGAUCAAUUGGGUUCAAAUUUAGGGGAGGGUAUAUGUGUAGUUGAAGAAAAUUCUGUUUGUUCAAGGAGGAAGAGCUUAAAGGCAUUUAUCUUAAAGUAUUUAAUUUAUUCCUUGAUCCUAUUUUUUCAAUUACCUUUAAUCACAUUACAAGCUUAUAAAACCCCUUUGAUUUUUGAAUUUGAUGAGAUAACUUGUGGGUAGAGAGAUUGGGAGAAAUUGAGAUGUAAAAAUUUUAUUAAUUGAAAUUGUUUUAUACAAGUUGAAUUGAUGUUGUUGACUUUGGUAAUUGCAAGAUAAAUAUGUCUUGACUCUAUUCACACACGCACUUCAAAAUUGUUGAGAAGCUAGAUUUAAUUUUAUGAAUCAUGCAUUCAUUGGUGUUCUACUUUCUUCAUAUUGGGAAUACUUGCUUGGGCAAUUGAUGAGGACAAAAUCAUGAAUGCUUGGUAGAUGGAUAAUCUAUUAAAUUAGCUGUUUUAUUUGUUGUUUUACUCGAGGAUGAGUAAAAAUCUAAGUUUGGAGGUGUGAUAACCUAUAGAAAUUUAUGUCAUCUCAGUACAUUUUCUUAUAAUUUCAUAUGUUUUUUGAUGAAAUUGUGUAUACUUUGGGUACGUAUAAUAGGAAAAUGUGCAUAUCUCAUACUUGGGUUUAAAUAAGAAAAUCUUAGUGUAAAUUAUGUAUAAUUCUUAUCUUGGUAUAAUUAAUCUUGGAUUCAUAAAAUUUCUUGCCUUAGGUUGUUGAAGCAUUAUUUGAGGAGUAAAGGAGUUAUGAAAUUAUUACAUCAAGAAAAAGUCAAUACAAAGAGUGAAGAAUCAAAUGUUAGUUCAGGCAUUUUUGGCCUCAGCGGAAAGCCAGAGAUAGAAUACUAUUGACAUGUUUUGGUUGUAGUCGAAGUCUUGACCGAGAGGUUUUGGCUGCAGCCGAUGAAGAAUUGACCGCGACCAAAAGCUUUUUACUGAAGCUGUGUUUUUGAAUCAGACUUAAAGCUAGGGUUAUAUAUGCGAACUUCUUGCACUUUGAAGGAGAGUUGCAAUUGUGAGAGGUUUCUUGAGGCUUGCUCUACUAGGGUUUAGGGUUCUUGGAAGAGAUUUGAUUAAUGAUUGAAGAUUUGGAAAGAUUCAAGUAGGUUUCCUUCAUUUUUUCUUUUUUUCUUCCUUUUUCUCUUCUUGUUUCUAAUGUGGAUGCUGUAGAUUGUGACAUUUAUGGCUAUUUUCUGAAUAUGAGUGGUUAGUUUUUUUGUUUUAAGAUUAUUUCAAACCUUUGUAUGGAUUAAGAUUUGAAUAUUCCUCUCUUUUGAUAGUUUAUGACA
Long non-coding RNA from Prosopis cineraria, 2917 nucleotides. RefSeq lists it as uncharacterized. Lineage: Eukaryota; Viridiplantae; Streptophyta; Magnoliopsida; Fabales; Fabaceae. The record is from RefSeq and is a predicted model, not a curated record. The transcript has 4 exons.